RNAcentral lists this ribosomal RNA (370 nucleotides) under uncultured soil bacterium. RNAcentral describes it as "bacterial SSU rRNA". It matches the Rfam family "Bacterial small subunit ribosomal RNA", at positions 26 to 393 of the family's 1533-position model. The record is from RNAcentral.
AGAUUGAACGCUGGCGGCAUGCCUUACACAUGCAAGUCGAACGGCAGCACGGGAGCAAUCCUGGUGGCGAGUGGCGAACGGGGUGAGUAAUACAUCGGAACGUGCCCAAUCGUGGGGGAUAACGCAGCGAAAGCUGUGCUAAUACCGCAUAAGAUCUACGGAUGGAAGCAGGGGAUCGCAAGACCUUGCGCGAAUGGGAGCGGCCGAUGGCAGAUUAGGUAGUUGGUGAGGUAAAGGCUCACCAAGCCUUCGAUCUGUAGCUGGUCUGAGAGGACGACUAGCCACACUGGGACUGAGACACGGCCAGACUCCGUACGGGAGCAGCAGGUAGGGGAAUUUGGACAAGUGGACGAAGCCGUGACUCCGAGCC